CCUGGCUCAGAAUGAACGCUGGCGGCGUGCUUAACACAUGCAAGUCGAACGAGAAAUCUUUAGCUUGCUAGGGAAAGUAAAGUGGCGCACGGGUGAGUAACGCGUGGGUAAUCUGCCUCCGAAUCGGGGAUAACAUUGCGAAAGCGAUGCUAAUACCGGAUAAAAUCUGGUUGGCUUCGGUGAACCGGAUCAAAGGUGGUCUCUUUAUAAAAGCUACCGUUUGGAGAUGAGCUCGCGUACCAUUAGCUAGUUGGUGAGGUAAAGGCUCACCAAGGCGACGAUGGUUAGCUGGUCUGAGAGGAUGAUCAGCCACACCGGAACUGGAACACGGUCCGGACUCCUACGGGAGGCAGCAGUGAGGAAUUUUGCGCAAUGGGGGAAACCCUGACGCAGCAACGCCGCGUGAGUGAUGAAGGCUUUCGGGUCGUAAAGCUCUGUCAGGUGGGAAGAACCCACCAAGUGUUAAGACCACUUGGUGCUGACGGUACCACCGAAGGAAGCACCGGCUAACUCCGUGCCAGCAGCCGCGGUAAUACGGGGGGUGCGAGCGUUAUUCGGAAUCAUUGGGCGUAAAGGGCGCGCAGGCGGUUUUGUAAGUCAGAUGUGAAAUCCCGGGGCUUAACCCCGGAAGUGCAUAUGAAACUAUGAGACUUGAGUAUGGGAGAGGGAAGCGGAAUUCCUGGUGUAGCGGUGAAAUGCGUAGAUCUCAGGAGGAACACCGGUGGCGAAGGCGGCUUCCUGGACCAAUACUGGCGCUGAGGCGCGAAAGCGUGGGGAGCGAACCGGAUUAGAUACCCUGGUAGUCCACGCAGUAAACGUUGAUCACUAGGUGU
This 833-nucleotide ribosomal RNA is filed under the name uncultured organism. Its description in RNAcentral is "bacterial SSU rRNA". It matches the Rfam family "Bacterial small subunit ribosomal RNA", at positions 18 to 823 of the family's 1533-position model. The record is from RNAcentral.